CAGCCGCCACGGUAAUACAGAGGUGCCAAGCGUUAGGCGGAAUCACUGGGCGUAAAGCGUGCGCAGGCGGUUGUGUAAGACAGGUGUGAAAUCCCCGGGCUUAACCUGGGAACUGCGCUUGUGACUGCACAGCUAGAGUAUGGCAGAGGGGGGUGGAAUUCCACGUGUAGCAGUGAAAUGCGUAGAGAUGUGGAGGAACGCCGAUGGCGAAGGCAGCCCCCUGGGCCAAUACUGACGCUCAUGCACGAAAGCGUGGGGAGCAAACAGGAUUAGAUACCCCAGUAGUCCCUGUCUCUUAUAC
RNAcentral lists this ribosomal RNA (301 nucleotides) under uncultured bacterium. RNAcentral's name for it is "partial 16S ribosomal RNA". It matches the Rfam family "Bacterial small subunit ribosomal RNA", at positions 509 to 807 of the family's 1533-position model. The record is from RNAcentral.